AUUGAACGCUGGCGGCAUGCCUUACACAUGCAAGUCGAGCGUGAAAGCGGGGCAACCCGCAAGUAGAGUGGCGGACGGGUGAGUAAUACAUCGGAACGUGUCCAGUAAUGGGGGAUAACCUAGCGAAAGUUAGGCUAAUACCGCAUACGAUCUGCGGAUGAAAGCGGGGGAUGCGGCACUAAAGGCUUUUGGCGAAGGUGGCCAAAGGUGAGUCAAGAGCUUUUAGUGCNGCACCUCGCGUUAUUGGAGCGGCUGAUGUCUGAUUAGCUAGUUGGUGAGGUAAAGGCUUACCAAGGCGACGAUCAGUAGCUGGUCUGAGAGGACGGCCAGCCACACUGGGACUGAGACACGG
Molecule: ribosomal RNA, 352 nt
Filed under: uncultured bacterium
Lineage: Bacteria
Description: bacterial SSU rRNA
Rfam family: Bacterial small subunit ribosomal RNA
Source: RNAcentral